RNAcentral lists this ribosomal RNA (253 nucleotides) under uncultured bacterium. RNAcentral's name for it is "partial 16S ribosomal RNA". It matches the Rfam family "Bacterial small subunit ribosomal RNA", at positions 524 to 776 of the family's 1533-position model. The record is from RNAcentral.
UACGUAGGGACCGAGCGUUGUCCGGAAUCAUUGGGCGUAAAGAGCGUGUAGGCGGCCACUUAAGUCCUGCGUGAAAUCUUGCGGCUCAACCGCAAGCGGUCGUGGGAAACUGGGUGGCUAGAGUGCGGGAGAGGAGAGUGGAAUUCCUGGUGUAGCGGUGGAAUGCGCAGAUAUCAGGAAGAACACCAGUGGCGAAGGCGACUUUCUGGCCUGUUCUUGACGCUGAGGCGCGAAAGCUAGGGGAGCAAACGGG